GGAGUUUGGGCCGUGUCUCAGUCCCAAUGUGGCCGUCCGACCUCUCAGUCCGGCUACAGAUCGUCGCCUUGGUGAGCCGUUACCUCACCAACUAGCUAAUCUGACGCGGGCCCAUCUCAUACCACCGGAGUUUUUCACACUGUGUCAUGCGACACUGUGCGCUUAUGCGGUAUUAACAGUCGUUUCCAACUGUUAUCCCCCAGUAUGAGGCAGGUUGCCCACGCGUUACUCACCCGUCCGCCACUAAGUUUAUAAAUAAUCCACCCGAAGGUCUCAAAUAAAUAAACUCCGUUCGACUUGCAUGUGUUAGGCACGCCGCCAGCGUUCAUC
Molecule: ribosomal RNA, 330 nt
Filed under: uncultured Butyrivibrio sp.
Lineage: Bacteria; Bacillati; Bacillota; Clostridia; Lachnospirales; Lachnospiraceae
Description: partial 16S ribosomal RNA
Source: RNAcentral